Molecule: ribosomal RNA, 468 nt
Filed under: uncultured bacterium
Lineage: Bacteria
Description: partial 16S ribosomal RNA
Rfam family: Bacterial small subunit ribosomal RNA
Source: RNAcentral
GACGAACGCUGGCGGCGUGCUUAACACAUGCAAGUCGAACGGAAAGGCCCUGCUUUUGUGGGGUGCUCGAGUGGCGAACGGGUGAGUAACACGUGAGUAACCUGCCCUUGACUUUGGGAUAACUUCAGGAAACUGGGGCUAAUACCGGAUAGGAGCUCCUGCUGCAUGGGGGGGGUUGGAAAGUUUCGGCGGUUGGGGAUGGACUCGCGGCUUAUCAGCUGGUUGGUGGGGUAGUGGCUUACCAAGGCUUUGACGGGUAGCCGGCCUGGGAGGGUGACCGGCCACCUUGGGCCUGCGGUACGGCCCAGACGCCUACGGGAGGCAGCAGUGGGGAAUAUUGCACAGUGGGCGGAAGCCUGAUGCAGCAACGCCGCGUGCGGGAUGCCGGCCUUCGGGUUGUAAACCGCUUUCGCCUGUGACGAAGCGUGAGUGACGGUACUGGGUAAGGAAGCACCGGCUAACUACGUG